RNAcentral lists this ribosomal RNA (431 nucleotides) under uncultured bacterium. RNAcentral describes it as "bacterial SSU rRNA". It matches the Rfam family "Bacterial small subunit ribosomal RNA", at positions 28 to 450 of the family's 1533-position model. The record is from RNAcentral.
GAUGAACGCUAGCGGCAGGCCUAACACAUGCAAGUCGAGGGGCAGCAUAAAACAAGCUUGCUUGUUUGGUGGCGACCGGCGCACGGGUGCGUAACGCGUAUGCAACCUACCCUGUACUGGGGGAUAGCCCGGAGAAAUUCGGAUUAAGACCCCAUAGCACUUAAGAAUGGCAUCAUUCAUAAGUUAAAGGUUACCGGUACAGGAUGGGCAUGCGUCCCAUUAGCUAGAUGGUAAGGUAACGGCUUACCAUGGCAACGAUGGGUAGGGGGCCUGAGAGGGUGGUCCCCCACACUGGUACUGAGACACGGACCAGACUCCUACGGGAGGCAGCAGUGAGGAAUAUUGGUCAAUGGGCNCAAGCCUGAACCAGCCAUGCCGCGUGCAGGAAGACGGUCCUAAUGGAUUGUAAACUGCUUUUAUUGGGAAGAAAC